This 2162-nucleotide ribosomal RNA is filed under the name Campylobacter jejuni. Its description in RNAcentral is "partial 23S ribosomal RNA". It matches the Rfam family "Bacterial large subunit ribosomal RNA", at positions 922 to 2925 of the family's 2925-position model. The record is from RNAcentral. Lineage: Bacteria; Pseudomonadati; Campylobacterota; Epsilonproteobacteria; Campylobacterales; Campylobacteraceae.
GGGCAUACACCAAUGUACCAAACCCUAUCAAACUCCGAAUACCUUAUAUGUAAUCACAGCAGUCAGGCGGCGAGUGAUAAAAUCCGUCGUCAAGAGGGAAACAACCCAGACUACCAGCUAAGGUCCCUAAAUCUUACUUAAGUGGAAAACGAUGUGAAGUUACUUAAACAACCAGGAGGUUGGCUUAGAAGCAGCCAUCCUUUAAAGAAAGCGUAAUAGCUCACUGGUCUAGUGAUUUUGCGCGGAAAAUAUAACGGGGCUAAAGUAAGUACCGAAGCUGUAGACUUGCACACAACUUAGAUUAUUUAAGUUUAGAAUAUGAGAAACUAAGUUAUGUUUAGUUAUAUUUUUACUGAUUUUUAUAGAGUAAAGAUAGAAAUAAAACUUAGUAAAAUCAGUAAAAAUAUUCUUAGACUAAAGUUAAGUAGUUUAAGUUGUGUGCAAGUGGUAGGAGAGCGUUCUAUUUGCGUCGAAGGUAUACUGGUAAGGAGUGCUGGAGCGAAUAGAAGUGAGCAUGCAGGCAUGAGUAGCGAUAAUUAAUGUGAGAAUCAUUAACGCCGUAAACCCAAGGUUUCCUACGCGAUGCUCGUCAUCGUAGGGUUAGUCGGGUCCUAAGUCGAGUCCGAAAGGGGUAGACGAUGGCAAAUUGGUUAAUAUUCCAAUACCAACAUUAGUGUGCGAUGGAAGGACGCUUAGGGCUAAGGGGGCUAGCGGAUGGAAGUGCUAGUCUAAGGUCGUAGGAGGUUAUACAGGCAAAUCCGUAUAACAAUACUCCGAGAGCUGAAAGGCUUUUUGAAGUCUUCGGAUGGAUAGAAGAACCCCUGAUGCCGUCGAGCCAAGAAAAGUUUCUAAGUUUAGCUAAUGUUGCCCGUACCGUAAACCGACACAGGUGGGUGGGAUGAGUAUUCUAAGGCGCGUGGAAGAACUCUCUUUAAGGAACUCUGCAAAAUAGCACCGUAUCUUCGGUAUAAGGUGUGGUUAGCUUCGUACUAGGAUUUACUCCGAAAGCGAAGAAACUUACAACAAAGAGUCCCUCCCGACUGUUUACCAAAAACACAGCACUCUGCUAACUCGUAAGAGGAUGUAUAGGGUGUGACGCCUGCCCGGUGCUCGAAGGUUAAUUGAUGGGGUUAGCAUUAGCGAAGCUCUUGAUCGAAGCCCGAGUAAACGGCGGCCGUAACUAUAACGGUCCUAAGGUAGCGAAAUUCCUUGUCGGUUAAAUACCGACCUGCAUGAAUGGCGUAACGAGAUGGGAGCUGUCUCAAAGAGGGAUCCAGUGAAAUUGUAGUGGAGGUGAAAAUUCCUCCUACCCGCGGCAAGACGGAAAGACCCCGUGGACCUUUACUACAGCUUGACACUGCUACUUGGAUAAGAAUGUGCAGGAUAGGUGGGAGGCUUUGAGUAUAUGACGCCAGUUGUAUAUGAGCCAUUGUUGAGAUACCACUCUUUCUUAUUUGGGUAGCUAACCAGCUUGAGUUAUCCUCAAGUGGGACAAUGUCUGGUGGGUAGUUUGACUGGGGCGGUCGCCUCCCAAAUAAUAACGGAGGCUUACAAAGGUUGGCUCAGAACGGUUGGAAAUCGUUCGUAGAGUAUAAAGGUAUAAGCCAGCUUAACUGCAAGACAUACAAGUCAAGCAGAGACGAAAGUCGGUCUUAGUGAUCCGGUGGUUCUGUGUGGAAGGGCCAUCGCUCAAAGGAUAAAAGGUACCCCGGGGAUAACAGGCUGAUCUCCCCCAAGAGCUCACAUCGACGGGGAGGUUUGGCACCUCGAUGUCGGCUCAUCGCAUCCUGGGGCUGGAGCAGGUCCCAAGGGUAUGGCUGUUCGCCAUUUAAAGCGGUACGCGAGCUGGGUUCAGAACGUCGUGAGACAGUUCGGUCCCUAUCUGCCGUGGGCGUAAGAAGAUUGAAGAGAUUUGACCCUAGUACGAGAGGACCGGGUUGAACAAACCACUGGUGUAGCUGUUGUUCUGCCAAGAGCAUCGCAGCGUAGCUAAGUUUGGAAAGGAUAAACGCUGAAAGCAUCUAAGCGUGAAGCCAACUCUAAGAUGAAUCUUCUCUAAGCUCUCUAGAAGACUACUAGUUUGAUAGGCUGGAUGUGUAAUGGAUGAAAGUCCUUUAGCUGACCAGUACUAAUAGAGCGUUUGGCUUAUCUUUAUAAAGCAU